UACAGAGGGUGCAAGCGUUAAUCGGAAUUACUGAGCGUAAAGGGCGCGUAGGUGGUUGAUUAAGUCAGAUGUGAAAUCCCUGGGCUUAACCUAGGAAUUGCAUUUGAUACUGGUCAGCUAGAGUGUGGGAGAGGGAAGUGGAAUUUCCAGUGUAGCGGUGAAAUGCGUAGAUAUUGGAAGGAACACCAGGGGCGAAGGAGACUUCCUGGACCGCUACUGACAAUGAGGCGCGAAAGCGUGGGGAGCGAACAGG
RNAcentral lists this ribosomal RNA (253 nucleotides) under uncultured bacterium. Its description in RNAcentral is "partial 16S ribosomal RNA". It matches the Rfam family "Bacterial small subunit ribosomal RNA", at positions 524 to 776 of the family's 1533-position model. The record is from RNAcentral.